Molecule: long non-coding RNA, 2196 nt
Organism: Oncorhynchus keta (chum salmon)
Lineage: Eukaryota; Metazoa; Chordata; Actinopteri; Salmoniformes; Salmonidae
Exons: 3
Source: RefSeq, a predicted model, not a curated record
CCAGCCGGUUCUGGCGCCUUGGCAUCAGAGUCAGAACUCGCUCUGCCACCCCUCCACUAACCUCUCCCCCUUCCAGUGGGUACUGGGGUACCAGCCGGUUCUGGCGCCUUGGCAUCAGAGUCAGAACUCGCUCUGCCACCCCUCCACUAACCUCUCCCCCUUCCAGUGGGUACUGGGGUACCAGCCGGUUCUGGCGCCUUGGCAUCAGAGUCCGACCGAGGCUCCUGCGGUGGACGACUGGUUCAGGCUUGACUUCCGCCAAAGUUGAUUCCUCUCCUUGUUCGGGCGACGCUCGCCGGUCUUCUAGCCAUCGUCGAUCCACUUUUAAUUUUCCAUUUGUUUUGUCUUGUUUUUUUUUCUCAAUUCAAUUCAAUUCCCUUAUUUACUUGUUGUGUAUUUAACCCUCUUUUCCCCCCUCCCCAUGUCUUUGUGUGGGAAUGUUUAUUGUCGUGCUUGUGCACGUUCCUUGUGAGCGCACUACGGGUUAUUUUUGUGCCCAUUUACCUUGUUGUUCUGGAUGCCGUUGGUUUUGCUUAAUAAAUCUCCGGUUAUCACCCAGUUCUGCUCUUCCUGCGCCUGACUUCUCUGCCGCCAAUUACGUACCCCGCUACACCUUAUUGCCCAUUGAUGGAAUAAUGUGUGUAACGAAGUGUCUCUAGGAGGGAGGUUAUUGAUUAACUGUUGAACUGACUCUCUAUAGAGAAGGACAGAAGUGUCUCUAGAUGGAGGGAGGUUAUUGAUUAACUGUUGAACUGACUCUCUAUAGAGAAGAACAGAAGUGUCUCUAGAUGGAGGUUAUUGAUUAACUGUUGAACUGACUCUCUAUAGAGAAGAACAGAAGUGUCUCUAGAUGGAGGUUAUUGAUUAACUGUUGAACUGACUCUCUAUAGAGAAGAACAGAAGUGUCUCUAGAUGGAGGUUAUUGAUUAACUGUUGAACUGACUCUCUAUAGAGAAGAACAGAAGUGUCUCUAGAUGGAGGUUAUUGAUUAACUGUUGAACUGACUCUCUAUAGAGAAGAACAGAAGUGUCUCUAGAUGGAGGUUAUUGAUUAACUGUUGAACUGACUCUCUAUAGAGAAGGACAGAAGUGUCUCUAGAUGGAGGUUAUUGAUUAACUGUUGAACUGACUCUCUAUAGAGAAGAACAGAAGUGUCUCUAGAUGGAGGUUAUUGAUUAACUGUUGAACUGACUCUCUAUAGAGAAGAACAGAAGUGUCUCUAGAUGGAGGUUAUUGAUUAACUGUUGAACUGACUCUCUAUAGAGAAGGACAGAAGUGUCUCUAGGAGGGAGGUUAUUGAUUAACUGUUGAACUGACUCUCUAUAGAGAAGUACAGAAGUGUCUCUAGGAGGGAGGUUAUUGAUUAACUGUUGAACUGACUCUCCUACCGAUCCUCGACUUCGGCGAUGCCAUCUACAAAAUUGCUUCCAACACUCUACUCAGCAAACUGGAUGCAGUUUAUCACAGUGCCAUCCGUUUUGUCACUAAAGCACCUUAUACCACCCACCACUGCGACUUGUAUGCUCUAGUCGGCUGGCCCUCGCUACAUAUUCGUCGCCAGACCCACUGGCUCCAGGUCAUCUACAAGUCCAUGCUAGGUAAAGCUCCGCCUUAUCUCAGUUCACUGGUCACGAUGGCAACACCCAUCCGUAGCACGCGCUCCAGCAGGUGUAUCUCACUGAUCAUCCCUAAAGCCAACACCUCAUUUGGCCGCCUUUCGUUCCAGUUCUCUGCUGCCUGUGACUGGAACGAAUUUCAAAAAUCGCCAAAUUCGCCAAAAAUCGCCAAAUUCAAACAUCUGCUAUCUGAGCAGCUAACCGAUCGCUGCAGCUGUACAUAGUCUAUCGGUAAAUAGCCCACCCAUUUUUACCUACCUCAUCCCCAUACUGUUUUUAUGUAUUUACUUUUCUGCUCUUUUGCACACCAAUAUCUCUACCUGCACAUGACCAUCUGACCAUUUAUCACUCCAGUGUUAAUCUGCAAAAUUGUAAUUAUUCGCCUACCUCCUCAUGCCUUUUGCACACAAUGUAUAUAAACUCCCCUUUUUUUUCUCUUCCUGUGUUAUUGACUUGUUAAUUGUUUACUCCAUGUGUAACUCUGUGUUGUCUGUUCACACUGCUAUGCCUCAUCUUGGCCAGAUCGCAGUUGCAAAUGAGAACUUGUUCUCAACUAGCCUACCUGGUUAAAUAAAGGUGAA